GUUGGGCUUCAAUGUCAGCAGCCCAAUAUUAAAGUUAACAGCAGCCCAAGUUAUCAGCUGCCCAAGAGUUAGUAGCAGCCCAAGGGUAGUGGGUCUAUUUAAUUGUUGUAUAAUUUUGUACAUAAGUCAGGGACACACUUGUAAUUACACACACACAUUAGAUUUUAUUAUGCUUUGGUAUAUACACAGGCGGAAGGUUCGAGACAGCUCAGUUCAAUCAAUGCAAAUUCAGAUUCAUUUUCUCUCUUCUCUUUCCUCUUUACUGUUCAUCUUCUUCUUCUUUAUUUUCUUCAAUCCGAUGAGUUAGAUUGUUGACAUGGUAUCAGAGCGGGUAUAUUCUAGUUCUCCUCGUCAUCAGCUUUCGAUCGAUGUUACCCUCAUCGAUUUCCAUCCAUGUUUCUGCUGAUUCUCAAAAUCUAGGGUUUUUGUUCGGUUAGUUUUCGAUGAAACACCUGUAUUUUUGUUGAUUAAACUUGCUGUCUAGUGUAUAAACAUCAUAGAUUGUAUUUUUAGUUGUUGAUUUUGUUGUAUUUUUGUGAUAGAAAUUUGUUGUGGUCACAAUCUGUGGU
This 569-nucleotide long non-coding RNA is filed under the name Nicotiana benthamiana. Its description in RNAcentral is "long non-coding RNA (NBEN_LNC027508)". Lineage: Eukaryota; Viridiplantae; Streptophyta; Magnoliopsida; Solanales; Solanaceae. The record is from RNAcentral.